UGGCUGUCCGGGUAUCCUGGGAGUUGAAGUUUUGCAACAUCUGGAGGGCCACGGUUUAGGACCACGGCUAUAGAUGUCUGGAAACUCUAGAGAAGGCAAUGAGGAGGAAAAGAGGAGACAGCUACAGAUGGCGGGAGAUCCUGCGUCUCCCUGGGGUCCGGGUGCCAGCGCGUUCCUCAGGAAUGCAGGGGAAGUGAGCAGCACUUAGGAGCAGAUUUCUGGUCAGAAGUAGAGUCAAUACAGAUGAAAGUGGCAGAAACAUUCUCCUUAUUACAAUGUGAAUACCACCCUUUUUUCAUUAAUUUUUUUUUAUUUUCUUUGUGACAGAUAGGCAUUAAGCGGUUAAACAUGUACCCUGCAGCUACACCAUUAAAGUUACACUUUACACCAUUCAUCUACAGAUAAUGCUUAACAUAAUGCCCUUUCAUACAUUUUAACUGCAGUACCCUGUUUGGCCAUGUGGUGUGCUGUUAAAUGGAAAUAUUUACCAUAGACGCAUUAAAAACCACAGCACAAAUAUUUAUCUUUUUUUGAUGUACUUCAUUAAACAGCGACUUUAUCACAAAGUGCAGUACAAUCACAAUGUCACAAGGUGCAGGACAAUCUGAUUACAGUUCCUCGCCGUGUGGAAACGUCUUCCACUUAAAAGAUCAACAGUAUUUAUAUUUUUACUGUGCCACUCUUCAAAUUCCAAGCUGAAUGUCAUAGACGUGUCAUAAAAUAAACCAGAAUAGCAACAAUAACUGGCCCUUAGACCCGCCAGGUAACAGAGGGGAUAAAUUUAAUUCCACAUGGCUUGGUAUUUGUCAACUUAUAAGGGGUAAUACAAUAAAAUCUAAGGCGGCCAUUUGGGACAUUAUUGGUUGAAAAGUAGCACUGAAGUCCAUAGAUUUUUCAUUCUGUAGGAGCUUGAUAGUUUGAUUUAGGCUUUAUUGCAUUUCUCCUUCAGACAGUAGAGAAUUCUAAAAGUCACACGCAAAAGGUUCAUUUAUGACUAUGCCUAGGUAGAAACGCAGAAUAUGACAUUUAUGUACAGAAUUGCAGAGUCUCCGAACAAUACAGCACCAGCCCUCCCCGAAAUAUCAAGGGUUCAUGGAUCAGCUACUUAUGGCAGCCGUGGC
Hyla sarda is the source of this 1121-nucleotide long non-coding RNA. RefSeq lists it as uncharacterized. The record is from RefSeq and is a predicted model, not a curated record. Lineage: Eukaryota; Metazoa; Chordata; Amphibia; Anura; Hylidae. The transcript has 3 exons.